GCCAGACUCCUACGGGAGGCAGCAGUGGGGGAUAUUGCACAAUGGGGGGAACCCUGAUGCAGCGACGCCGCGUGGGUGAAGAAGUAUUUCGGUAUGUAAAGCCCUAUCGGCAGGGAAGAAAUUGGACGGUACCUGACUAAGAAGCCCCGGCUAACUACGUGCCAGCAGCCGCGGUAAUACGUAGGGGGCAAGCGUUAUCCGGAUUUACUGGGUGUAAAGGGAGCGUAGACGGCGAUGCAAGCCAGAUGUGAAAGCCCGGGGCUCAACCCCGGGACUGCAUUUGGAACUGUGUGGCUGGAGUGUCGGAGAGGCAGGCGGAAUUCCUAGUGUAGCGGUGAAAUGCGUAGAUAUUAGGAGGAACACCAGUGGCGAAGGCGGCCUGCUGGACGAUGACUGACGUUGAGGCUCGAGAGCGUGGGGAGCAAACAGGAUUAGAUACCCCGGUA
Molecule: ribosomal RNA, 446 nt
Filed under: uncultured bacterium
Lineage: Bacteria
Description: bacterial SSU rRNA
Rfam family: Bacterial small subunit ribosomal RNA
Source: RNAcentral